UCACCCACAGCUACCAUGACUUUGAUCCCCGUCUUCAUCUGGACACUGAUCCUCUGGACUCAAGAAUGCAGAGGUCAAGUCACAGUAACUCAGACUCCUGCAGUGAAAUCUGUUCUUCCAGGAGAAACAGUCACCAUCAACUGUAGAACCAGUCAGGCAGUGGAAACAGACUCAAAUGGCAAUCGUUUACACUGGUAUCAGCAGAAACCUGGAGAAGCUCCUAAACUCCUGAUUAAAUAUGUAAAUAAGCUAGAGUCAGGUGUUCCAGCUCGUUUCAGUGGCAGUGGAUCUGGAUCUGAUUUCACUCUGACCAUCAGUGGAGUCCAGACUGAAGAUGCAGGAGAUUACUACUGUCAGAGUUACCAUUACAUCAGUAGCAUUAACACGUUCACACAGAUGGAUCUGUCUACAUUCUCUGUGUCUAUCAGUGUCUUGACCCCAUUAGAAGAAAAAUUAUUAGAAAAAAUCCUGUCCUAUUUUAUUAGGGAAAAAAAGCUAGAUGUGUCAUUCUGAUCAAGGUUGUUAUUUUCUUUACAAACAGAGAAAUCUGUUUAUUCUGUCAUGUAUUCAGUAUUUGUUAACUGUUUUAAUAGUUUAAAGUAAAAUCUGACAAAUCAGAGAAAUAAGAAGUGAAAGUGAUCCUCACACACACACACACACACACACACACACACACACACACACACAUUUGCAUGAACAGCUCUGAGACUCAGAAUAGAUCACCACUUUCAGCA
Molecule: non-coding RNA, 734 nt
Organism: Tachysurus vachellii
Lineage: Eukaryota; Metazoa; Chordata; Actinopteri; Siluriformes; Bagridae
Source: the annotation of a RefSeq genome assembly